CUCUUCUGGUAUAGCAGAGUCACAGUUCCUGUGACAUUGCCUGCCACGUCUUGAUGAAAUGAGAUCAUACAUACUCUGUAUGACAGAGGGAAGCCAAGGUGAGUGCUUGCACAGUGCCUGCUUCAUGGCCUCCCUAAUUGCUAUCCUGGAGCUCUGCGUGAAGAAGAGCAGGAAGUGGUGUGGCAGCUGAGUCCUGAGAGAUGGGCUAAGGCUCAGGGGGAAGGCAGGCAAGUGGAUUUCAGAUCCACUCGGAAUGUGCUGCUGGCUCCCUGACGUGCUAAUCUACAGUGCUGGUGACCAAGGCCCUUACCUCCAGGGCAGAGUCUGCUCCAAUCAGGCUUGGGAACCCAGAUGGCUCCUGGACAAAGAACUACAAGGACCCCAUCAGCCUCGCGGAGGAGCCUGCGCUGGCCUUGUGCCUGCUCUCCAGGACAUCUUCAUUGCUGCCAAGGCUCUGCCUUGUCCCGUGUUUGAGAAAUGAUGCCCCUGCUUUGUGAGCCCCAAAGGGAGUCUGAGCUGAGCUUGCCUGCUCCUCCCACCCAGCCCAAGAACCUCAGUUUCCCUCCACCCAGCACUCCCAGGGCUGCUCUUUACCUGCUGCCCGCUCCAUGAGCCGCACCUUUCCUGCUGCCUGGGUCUGCACCUGCCCCCCACCCUCCUGACCAAGGACUCUGGGGGUCCUGACGCCACCAAGGUGAAACCCAAUCCUAAUGUAAGGCUGGCCCGGGCUGUGAAGAGGAGCAGUAAAGGGUUACAGUAGAGAUCCCCGAACCUCAUUCCACAGCACCCUCAGGUGGCUGCACAGUUUGGGAAGCCAGGCAUUAAGGUAGUCAUUAAUUAAUUAAUUCAACCAUUUGUGAAGCACUUCCUCUAAGCAUUAAACCCUAAACACAACAGCUAAUAAGACCCAGCCCUAGGCCCUAAGGAGCUCCCUGUUUAAGUUAAGAGACAGACACAGGAACAUGCAAUUCAUGUGUUCCCCACAUUCACAGGAGCAGAGAGUUCAGGAGGAGUGCAUAGGAAGGGGAUCUGCCCACUUAUGGGUGCCCAGAGAGGGCUUCCUGAAGGCAGCAUCAGAGAGCUCAAUCCUAGAGCUUCAGCAGGCAAACAUGGGCAGUACCUAGGGGUAAAGCACAGAGUGCAGCAAGGAGGAUACUAGAGAGAGCCUGGCGUUGCUUUAAAGACCUGCAAGGAGGCUGGGCACAGUGGCUCACGCCUGUAAUCCCAGCACUUUGGGAGGCCGAGGUGGGCGGACCACAAGGUCAGGAGAUUGAGACCAUCCUGGUUAACACAGUGAAACCCCGUCUCUACUAAAAAUACAAAAAAUUAGCCAGGCGAGGUGGGGGGCGCCUGUAGUCCCAGCUGCUCCAGAGGCUGAGGCAGGAGAAUGGCAUGAACCCGAGGGGGCGGAGCCUGCAGUGAGCAGAGAUCGCGCCACUGCACUCCA
RNAcentral lists this long non-coding RNA (1447 nucleotides) under Homo sapiens (human). RNAcentral describes it as "HSALNT0141414". Lineage: Eukaryota; Metazoa; Chordata; Mammalia; Primates; Hominidae. The record is from RNAcentral.